AGAGUUUGAUCCUGGCUCAGAUUGAACGCUGGCGGCAGGCUUAACACAUGCAAGUCGAACGGUAACAGGGAGAAGCUUGCUUCUUUGCUGACGAGUGGCGGACGGGUGAGUAAUGCUUGGGAAUCUGGCUUAUGGAGGGGGAUAACUACGGGAAACUGUAGCUAAUACCGCGUAAUAUCUUCGGAUUAAAGGGUGGGACUUUCGGGCCACCUGCCAUAAGAUGAGCCCAAGUGGGAUUAGGUAGUUGGUGGGGUAAAGGCCUACCAAGCCGACGAUCUCUAGCUGGUCUGAGAGGAUGACCAGCCACACUGGAACUGAGACACGGUCCAGACUCCUACGGGAGGCAGCAGUGGGGAAUAUUGCACAAUGGGGGGAACCCUGAUGCAGCCAUGCCGCGUGAAUGAAGAAGGCCUUCGGGUUGUAAAGUUCUUUCGGUGAUGAGGAAGGUGUUUGUUUUAAUAGAACGAGCAAUUGACGUUAGUCACAGAAGAAGCACCGGCUAACUCCGUGCCAGCAGCCGCGGUAAUACGGAGGGUGCGAGCGUUAAUCGGAAUGACUGGGCGUAAAGGGCACGCAGGCGGUGACUUAAGUGAGAUGUGAAAGCCCCGAGCUUAACUUGGGAAUUGCAUUUCAUACUGGGUCGCUAGAGUACUUUAGGGAGGGGUAGAAUUCCACGUGUAGCGGUGAAAUGCGUAGAGAUGUGGAGGAAUACCGAAGGCGAAGGCAGCCCCUUGGGAAUGUACUGACGCUCAUGUGCGAAAGCGUGGGGAGCAAACAGGAUUAGAUACCCUGGUAGUCCACGCUGUAAACGCUGUCGAUUUGGGGAUUGGGCUUAGAGCUUGGUGCCCGUAGCUAACGUGAUAAA
RNAcentral lists this ribosomal RNA (865 nucleotides) under uncultured bacterium. RNAcentral's name for it is "bacterial SSU rRNA". It matches the Rfam family "Bacterial small subunit ribosomal RNA", at positions 8 to 864 of the family's 1533-position model. The record is from RNAcentral.